RNAcentral lists this long non-coding RNA (260 nucleotides) under Gossypium raimondii (Peruvian cotton). Its description in RNAcentral is "long non-coding RNA (GRAI_LNC007430)". Lineage: Eukaryota; Viridiplantae; Streptophyta; Magnoliopsida; Malvales; Malvaceae. The record is from RNAcentral.
AUAUUUAUAGUUAGUUUAGUGACCAUCAAGUUUUUAGCGUCGUUGCCGGGGACUAAAAUAUUAGGAGCACUUUAUUUUUAUUAAUUUAGCCAUUUUUAUUUUUUAUUAUGAUUUUUUAGUUUAUUUUUUAUUUGCUUCUGGCAGGUUCUUUUAUUUUAUGAUAAGAAGAAACCUGUCGGGACCAUUGUUAUUUGACAGUGAGAUUGAAAGUACUGCUCACAGAAACCGUAGAAAAGUAAGGCAAAGUCUACAGAAUAUAG